RNAcentral lists this long non-coding RNA (121 nucleotides) under Gopherus agassizii (Agassiz's desert tortoise). RNAcentral's name for it is "lncRNA (ENSGAGG00000015905.1)". The record is from RNAcentral. Lineage: Eukaryota; Metazoa; Chordata; Testudines; Testudinidae.
CGGCUGCGCCCGGGGCCCCGCGGGGCGAGCGCCGGGGACGCGGCAUCAGCGCGGGAGUCCCGAGCCUGGACGUGCAGGGAGGUGGCGGGGGGCAUCUACCAGGCAGAGCUGUCCCUGUACG